CCCUUAGAUGUUCUGGGCCGCACGCGCGCUACACUGACGAAUGCAACGAGCUUAUAACCUUGGCCGAAAGGUCUGGGUAAUCUCCAAAUUUCGUCGUGAUGGGGAUAGAUUAUUGCAAUUAUUAAUCUUCAACGAGGAAUGCCUAGUAAGCGCAAGUCAUCAGCUUGCGUUGAUUACGUCCCUGCCCUUUGUACACACCGCCCGUCGCUCCCACCGAUUGAAUGGUCCGGUGAAGCGUUCGGACCGUGGCCUUUGGACGGUUCGCCGUCUGUUGGCUGCGGGAAGUUCGUUAAACCUUAUCAUUUAGAGGAAGGAGAANUCGUAACA
This 327-nucleotide ribosomal RNA is filed under the name uncultured eukaryote. Its description in RNAcentral is "partial 18S ribosomal RNA". It matches the Rfam family "Eukaryotic small subunit ribosomal RNA", at positions 1470 to 1796 of the family's 1831-position model. The record is from RNAcentral.